Molecule: transfer RNA, 59 nt
Filed under: Loxodonta africana (African savanna elephant)
Lineage: Eukaryota; Metazoa; Chordata; Mammalia; Proboscidea; Elephantidae
Rfam family: tRNA
About the family: Transfer RNA (tRNA) molecules are approximately 80 nucleotides in length. Their secondary structure includes four short double-helical elements and three loops (D, anti-codon, and T loops).
Source: Rfam by way of RNAcentral
AGUGGUUAAGCCCUUGGCUGCUAACCAGAAGGUUGGUGGUUCAAAUCCACCAACUACUU